UUACUAUGGAAAAACAACAUGAAAUUAUUUUUGUUCUCCCUUGAAUAGAAAGUCAUGGCUGUUAUUGGGCCACGAAGGCCUGCCCCACGACCCCCACAGCAUCUAGUUUAGUGAAGGACCCGCUCUCUCAUUAUUUCUCUUUGAAAUUUCUACUUUCUAGCUUUCAUCGACAACAUCAACCCUACAAAGCCCCCAGCAUCUUAAUCUUUCACUUCUGUCUGCAGUAAUUCUAACGAUUUGUGAUGAGUGGGCUACCUUUGCAAAAUGCUUCCCCCUCCUCAGCUGUAAGCCAGGUGUCACUAAUUACAACAUCUGGUCAAGAAUCAAAGCCAAAGAAGAUCUGCUGUGCUUGCCCCGAAACUAAGAAACUAAGGGAUGAAUGCAUUGUGGAGCAUGGUGAAGCUGCUUGUGCAAAAUGGAUCGAUGCUCAUCGACAGUGCCUUCGUGCUGAGGGCUUUAACAUUUGAGUUUGGUAGAUACGGUUUAGUUCAUAAAUCGAUACCAUUUUGGAAUAUAGAAUUACACAUACCAAAUGUGAGGAAUAAAGCUAGAAAACACAGCUUUUCUUGACCUUUUAAACUUUGCAAGCAUUUCUAGCUUCUUGAAUGAUGAUUUCUUUUCCUUACAGAAUGACAAAUGAAAAUGACUAGAAUACUUGGAUGGGGUUGAUAUUGUGUUUGUCUCUUCUCUUUGUCUGUUAUUUGAUUCGUGUUUGUACCUGUGAUUUUACAGGAAGAGAAAAGUUGUUUCUCUUUAUGUGUAAGGGAUUCCUCACAUGCCAUCAACUCUCCCAUUCAUGUUUCCUUCUUUAAAUUCCAUUAUGAUGUUAGAUAUUGCUCUGAACUUCUGAUGAUAGUUAUAGGCUUUCACAUUGAGCUGAUGCAAGCUUAUCCUCACUUGUACAUGGUUAUCCUUGCAGGUAGCGGUUGCCAAAGAUGAGCUGAAAAGAUCUGGGAAAGGUUAUUAUCUGAGAUGCAUUGCCCAGGUUAGAUGUUCUAAUCAACUUUAUCACAAUCUGAAUUAUCCUCGCAGUUUCUUCUGAGCCAUCACGUCUCCCCUGAAGUGAUCUCUUCGAGAGGAGAUGUAAUGGCUCAGAA
Molecule: long non-coding RNA, 1097 nt
Organism: Populus euphratica (Euphrates poplar)
Lineage: Eukaryota; Viridiplantae; Streptophyta; Magnoliopsida; Malpighiales; Salicaceae
Exons: 3
Source: RefSeq, a predicted model, not a curated record